This is a long non-coding RNA of Rhinichthys klamathensis goyatoka, 446 nucleotides long. RefSeq lists it as uncharacterized. Lineage: Eukaryota; Metazoa; Chordata; Actinopteri; Cypriniformes; Leuciscidae. The transcript has 2 exons. The record is from RefSeq and is a predicted model, not a curated record.
AGAUGUCUGUAAGCAAUUCGUAAGUUGUUUCAAAAUGUGUGGCGCUUCCAACACUACUUUGAGGCAGGUAGUAGGUGAGUCAAGUUUCCAUGACAUCUGCUUAUGACUACUGGAUAAAGAUUCUUAAAAAUCAUUCAAAUUCAGGCUGAUUCACUAAAUAAUAUAGACUGAUUUGAGGACCAGUUUGGUUCACAUCCACAACUUGUUCAGGCCUCAAAGUCAUGUUUGAAAAGUAUUUCUUGGAGAUUUAUUUGGUGGCACAGAAAUUAUACUGCACCGUUGAAGGUGUAUUAGAUCUUUAACAUUUUACUGGCCAAUAGAAAACUGUUCCAUAAUGACAACUGCAUGUGACAUCACCCUUGAUUUAUGAUUUAGUAUUGCAGCAGUACUAAGCCAUCUCAAGAUAGUCCACCUUUAUGUAAAAUAAAACUACUUUUUCAAGGCCA